Molecule: ribosomal RNA, 390 nt
Filed under: Cephalophus dorsalis (bay duiker)
Lineage: Eukaryota; Metazoa; Chordata; Mammalia; Artiodactyla; Bovidae
Description: partial 12S ribosomal RNA
Rfam family: Bacterial small subunit ribosomal RNA
Source: RNAcentral
UUAGCCCUAAACACAAAUAAUUAUAAAAACAAAAUUAUUCGCCAGAGUACUACCGGCAACAGCCUAAAACUCAAAGGACUUGGCGGUGCUUUAUACCCUUCUAGAGGAGCCUGUUCUAUAAUCGAUAAACCCCGAUAGACCUCACCAAUUCUUGCUAAUACAGUCUAUAUACCGCCAUCUUCAGCAAACCCUAAAAAGGAACAAAAGUAAGCAUAAUCACAACACAUAAAAACGUUAGGUCAAGGUGUAACCUAUGAAAUGGGAAGAAAUGGGCUACAUUUUCUACCACAAGAAAAUCACACGAAAGUUAUUAUGAAACUAAUAACCAAAGGAGGAUUUAGUAGUAAACUAAGAAUAGAGUGCUUAGUUGAAUUAGGCCAUGAAGCACGC